AAACCAACCGGGAUUGCCUUAGUAACGGCGAGUGAGGCGGCAAAAGCUCAAAUUUGAAAUCUGGUACCUUCGGUGCCCGAGUUGUAAUUUGGAGAGGGCAACUUUGGGGCCGUUCCUUGUCUAUGUUCCUUGGAACAGGACGUCAUAGAGGGUGAGAAUCCCGUGUGGCGAGGAGUGCGGUUCUUUGUAAAGUGCCUUCGAAGAGUCGAGUUGUUUGGGAAUGCAGCUCUAAGUGGGUGGUAAAUUCCAUCUAAAGCUAAAUAUUGGCGAGAGACCGAUAGCGAACAAGUACAGUGAUGGAAAGAUGAAAAGAACUUUGAAAAGAGAGUGAAAAAGUACGUGAAAUUGUUGAAAGGGAAGGGCAUUUGAUCAGACAUGGUGUUUUGUGCCCUCUGCUCCUUGUGGGUAGGGGAAUCUCGCAUUUCACUGGGCCAGCAUCAGUUUUGGUGGCAGGAUAAAUCCAUAGGAAUGUAGCUUGCCUCGGUAAGUAUUAUAGCCUGUGGGAAUACUGCCAGCUGGGACUGAGGACUGCGACGUAAGUCAAGGAUGCUGGCAUAAUGGUUAUAUGCCGC
This 572-nucleotide ribosomal RNA is filed under the name Saccharomyces cerevisiae (brewer's yeast). Its description in RNAcentral is "partial large subunit ribosomal RNA". It matches the Rfam family "Eukaryotic large subunit ribosomal RNA", at positions 62 to 648 of the family's 3401-position model. Lineage: Eukaryota; Fungi; Ascomycota; Saccharomycetes; Saccharomycetales; Saccharomycetaceae. The record is from RNAcentral.